Molecule: ribosomal RNA, 505 nt
Filed under: uncultured bacterium
Lineage: Bacteria
Description: partial 16S ribosomal RNA
Rfam family: Bacterial small subunit ribosomal RNA
Source: RNAcentral
GACGAACGCUGGCGGCGUGCCUAAUACAUGCAAGUAGAACGCACAGUUUAUACCGUAGCUUGCUACACCAUAGACUGUGAGUUGCGAACGGGUGAGUAACGCGUAGGUAACCUGCCUGGUAGCGGGGGAUAACUAUUGGAAACGCUAGCUAAUACCGCAUAAUAUUAAUUAUUGCAUGAUAAUUGAUUGAAAGAUGCAACUGCAUCACUACCAGAUGGACCUGCGUUGUAUUAGCUAGUAGGUGAGGUAACGGCUCACCUAGGCGACGAUACAGAGCCGACCUGGGAGGGUGAUCGGCCACACUGGGACGGAGACACGGCCCAGACGCCUACGGGAGGCAGCAGUAGGGAAUCUUCGGCAAGGGACGAAAGUCUGACCGAGCAACGCCGCGGGAGGGAAGAAGGUUUUCGGAUCGGAAAGCUCUGUUGUAAGAGAAGAACGGGUGUGAGAGUGGAAAGUUCACAGUGUGACGGUAUCUUACCAGAAAGGGACGGCUAACUACGUG